AGAGUUUGAUCAUGGCUCAGAUUGAACGCUGGCGGCAUGCCUAACACAUGCAAGUUGAACGGCAGCAUGGUCUAGUUUACUAGAUUGAUGGCGAGUAGCGAACGGGUGAGUAACGCGUAGGAAUAUAGCUUAGAGAGGGGGAUAACUCGGGGAAACCCGAGCUAAUACCGCAUAAUAUCUUAGGAUCAAAGCUGGGGACCUUAGGGCCUGGCGCUUUAAGAUUAGCCUGCGUCCGAUUAGCUAGUUGGUGGGGUAAGGGCCUACCAAGGCGACGAUCGGUAGCUGGUCUGAGAGGAUGGACAGCCACACUGGGACUGAGACACGGCCCAGACUCCUACGGGAGGCAGCAGUGGGGGAUAUUGGACAAUGGGGGCAACCCUGAUCCAGCAAUGCCGCGUGUGUGAAGAAGGCCUGAGGGUUGUAAAGCACUUUCAGUGGGGAGGAGGAUUGACAGGUUAAGAGCUAGUUAAUUGGACGUUACCCACAGAAGAAGCACCGGCUAACUCCGUGCCAGCAGCCGCGGUAAUACGGAGGGUGCGAGCGUUAAUCGGAAUUACUGGGCGUAAAGGGUGCGUAGGUGGUUUAGUAAGUUAUCUGUGAAAUUCCUGGGCUUAACCCAGGCAUGUCAGGUAAAACUGUUGAACUUGAGUAUAGGAGAGGGUAGAGGAAUUUCCGGUGUAGCGGUGAAAUGCGUAGAUAUCGGAAGGAACACCGGUGGCGAAGGCGUCUACCUGGCCUAAUACUGACACUGAGGCACGAAAGCGUGGGGAGCAAACAGGAUUAGAUACCCUAGUAGUCC
This 799-nucleotide ribosomal RNA is filed under the name uncultured bacterium. RNAcentral describes it as "bacterial SSU rRNA". It matches the Rfam family "Bacterial small subunit ribosomal RNA", at positions 8 to 796 of the family's 1533-position model. The record is from RNAcentral.